UUACUUUUACUUGUGGGUGGAAAGGAUUUGUUUGUGUUUGAAUGGCAGGUGUAGAAUGAGGAAAAGAAAUGAAGGAGUGAAGUUUUGUUAUGGCAAAAUGUUGAACGGAUUGUCAACAUUAAUGCCAUGGAAAUUUCAGGAAAACAUGGAGUUAGCAUUCAAUUCGUGCCACUCUCAGCCAGCUGUACUUAUACUAGAAAGAUCUACCUAAAAAAGAGGGAGGAAAAACUGAAUGCUGAAAGGGGGAUCUAGCCUAUAAAAAGUGAGGAAAAAUGAGAGAGAAAAUGGGGGAGAAGCCUUUCUCAGAGGAAAGAUCUUAAGGUGGAAAUAAAGGGUAAUAGUAGAGUCUGAGCAGCAAAGCAGAAAAAGAGGGAGAAAAAAAAGGCAGUCUGUCUAGUCUUUGCAAGACAUUGCUUCACUAGAGUUGAGGGUUGGGUCGGGGUAAGCUUCCUGAAGUUCUUCAUUUAUUUUCUUAAAAUUACAUCUUUGCGAAAUUAAUUAUUAAAGAUGCUGAAUGAUGUUUUGAAUUUUGAUUUGAUUAACCAACCCAUGAGUUAAAUCUCAUUGGGUUGGGAUUACUGGAUAAUACUUGAAUUUGCCAUUAAUGUUGAAGCUUGGAUUUGAUCUAUUUUAAUGUUUCAUUCAAUUUGUUCUUUCGAAUUGCAUGCAUGCAAUCUCUAGACAUAGAUGAAUGCACACUAUGCUUAUAAACAUAAUCUAAUUCUGAAAAGGUUAGGUUAGUUAGACCACAAUUGAUUGAUACGAGUGGAUGUUCGAUAGAAUGCUUAUAAAAGUCUAUAGACAUAGAGCAACGUUCGUGCAAAGUGAUGAGUAAUCAGUAUCGGGAUUCUCAUAUGAGGUCUAUAGACAUAUAUUUCCUUAGGUGAGUUAUCCUAAGGUAUUGCCCUUGAAAGAAGCAGACCAUUUCAAAUCCAUUCUAAGUAGUAAGUUGAUUAAGAAUUUGUGAAGGCAUUAUUGGUUUAUAAGGGUAGAUUCCUAGUAAUCCCAACCUUCCCAAUCAACAACAUAAACUUUCUUACUUUUGUCUUAGUAUUUUUGCCAUAGCAUAUUUUUAAAUAUUUUUUGUUUACAUAUUGCACACAUCAUCAUUAUUUUGAUUACCAUUGCAUUUCUGUCAUUGUUUUGCCUUAACAUAAUUCACAUACUUUAUAACAAAAACUUAACCAAAUUAGUCUUAUCCGAUCCAUGUGGAGAUGAUAUUGAAAUAUAAUUAUAUUACUUGAUUCGACGUGUAUACUUGCAUAUUUUGCAUACUAUAUUCACACACGAUAGUCGUUACCAUAAAAACUUUAGAAACACUAUAAGGACCUUAAUGAGCUGAGUUCUAAUACAUUUGGAUGCCUUUGAACUAAACAAUCAUGAUCUAACUUUGUCAAUAUUUGCAUACAGAAUAAACAUGCAUCCUGAGUAUUAGAUGCUUAGCGGUGUUAACACAAUUUGAACUCAAAGCAAUAGAAAUAUUAACUAUUCAAGCAUACAAUAGAUCACAUCUUUAAUUAACAAGCUAAAGUCAAUAUUUCACAUGUCAUUCAAAACAAUUUUGUCAUGUUAAGUUGGGCCAUAUUUCUAAUGUUUCGAUUGAUUUUAUAUGCAUGAAAUUAAUGACAUUUCUCCUUUCAUUUCAUAACAUCUCAUAUGUGAACAACUAUACAAAAAUAAACAUAUACGUUUUUGAAUCACACGAAUAAUCAUGUUAUCAAAUCUUUCUCAUUGUCUUUUGUAGUUCAUAUUGAACGUAUAGUCCUUUGUUUCUGUGGGAUAAUGCAUUUUAUUUUAACCAAAAAAUUAUUCUGGAUUUUCUUCUCCUAGUUAAACUCUGUUUUUAGUUUCCCACUUGAACUCUGAUUAACCUAGAGUUAUUGUAGUCAUAUAUGCUACAACUUUCAGCCUUUAAAUAAGCCUUAGUUACUCUAGGUUUUACACAACAACAAAAAUAUUUAGAUUGAGCAAAUUUUGUUUUUCUCUUUCGAAGGUUUUUCUUGUGAGGCUUCGGGUUUUCUUUUAAUUCUCUCUAUCUUUUGUACUCUUUUUUUAUUAUUGUGAAAACUCAUUUUGUCCUUUCUUUUUUAUCCUCUUGUGAGCAGUUUUUUCACGUAAAAUUUACUUGUUCAAUUUUUUCGGUUCUUAUUUUCUUCACUUUGUUUGUUGUUGAAUCGAAUUUAUCCCCUACAAAUUUCUAUUAGAUCUAGUUUGAUUUCUGUAGUCAACCUGUUCAGAGAUAGCAGCAUCAAGGUUAAAUAUUGAGAAGUUUAACGGAAUUGGAGAUUUUAAUUUGUGACAAGUUCGGAUGACGACAAUACUGGUUCAGAACAGUCUAAAAAAGGUCGUUGAGGGAAUAAGCCCGUAGAUAUGGAUCAGUCAGAAUGGAAAGAGCUCGAUGAAAAGGCUCUAUCCAUUAUUCAAUUAUACCUCAUGAAUAAUGUGUUAUAGGAGGUUUUGAAGGAGAAAACAGUGUCUACAUUAUGAAAGAAACUAUAAGCCUUAUAUAUGAUGAAAUCUCUUACUAACAGGUUAAUAUUAAAAUAACAUCUCUACACAUUCAAAAUGGCCAAAGGUGAGUCCAUCAGAACUCAUAUUAAUGAGUUUGUUGCCCUUUUUAAUGACUUAACUAGUCUCAAAGUAGAGACUAGUGACGAGGAUCAAGAUAUGUUAUUGUUAUGCUCUUUGCCCUCUUCUUAUAAAACUUUUAGGGAAACUCUAAUUUAUGGGAGAGAUCACCUCUCGUUCGAGGAUGUGAAGGGGAAUCUUCUGAGUAAUGAUAAACUUGACAAUGAGUUUGGCCCAAACAAAAAAUCAAAUGGGCAAGCCUCAAUUCUAGUUGCAAGAGGCAGACAACAACCAGAAAGACUGAUUGAAACAUGUCUAAAGCAAGGUUCAAAUUCAUAAAUCAUGACAAAUAUCGUGACUAUUGUAAAAAUGUGGGUCAUGUUAAGGAAAAAUGUUGGAAACUUCAAAAUAAAAUCAAAAGGGACGCCAAAAACAACGAGAAAGAUAAGCAGAAAGCCAAAGUUACUGAUGCUAGUGUAGUCGAGGACAGAGGUGAUGAUUUCUUGUUGGUCUCGAUGAGUGAAAGCUCUCAUCUUACUUCUGAAUGGAUCUUAGAUUUAAGGUGCUCGUAUCACAUGUAUCCCAAAAGGGAUUGGUUCUCCACGUAUAGUUGGAACGAUGGAAAUGUGCAAGUGUAUACAAUUGCAACAAGUAAUAACAUGACAAGUAAAUGUCGAGUUAUCGUAUCCACAGGGACUAUGAAAAGAAUUAUUUAUGAAUGUUAUUUAAAACUUUUUGGUGAAGAAAAAUAUUUUGUUUGAAGAGGGUGAUUAAAAACUAAGAUUUUAAACUAAGUAAACUAAAUAAAUAAAUCUCAAAUGCACAAUUUCAAAAUACGAUUUUAAUCAAGAUGACAUAGUUGUGUUAGAUUAAUUACAUUUCAUAACUUAGAAUUACUAGAUGUUUAUAUUGUUACGAAUAAAUUCACCACAACUCGGUAAUUUGCUAACUUAUAAACAUACUCACCUACCAAAAUCUAUUUAUUUCUUGACUAUAUCCUUAUGUCAAUUCAAACAAUUAACUCGAUUUAAUAAGCACAUAAAAGACUACGUGAGGUAACAAAGUAUCCUUACCUUGAAACAGUUUAAUCACAAUAAUCUUACAAGUUAUGCAAGGUAAAUGUAUCGUCAGAUACUGUUGCUAAUUUAAACCUCAACUACCUUAGAUGAUUAAACAUGCGCAAAUUAAGUACUAUGUCCAUUAAUUACAAUUUCAAUCCGUUUAAAUAAUUAAUUUAUUAGUUACUUAACAAUUGUAAUGCAAUAAUAACUUAGUCAUGAUUUUACUUAAUCAAGCAUCUUAUUGAGGCCUAUAAUAACGUAAACACAAUUUUAACAAUUUAAGAAGAUGAAAUGUAAUCAACCUAACACGAAUUAGAUUCAAGCUAAAUUGAUUAAGUUAACCAUUCCAACAUAAAUAUCCAUAGAUAUGUUCAUCAUAACAACAAAAAAAAUUAAAGAGAUAGGGAACAAGAAUCAAAUUCGGUGUUUUUUCGUGGCUUGACUAGUUUGCUCCGUUCUUCCUUCUCCGUUGUCCUUGUCGAUCAAGGCUGCUAUGAACACUUAAUUGCUGCUCCAAAUGGCUGAUGAAUGCCCCUUUUCCAAGAGGAGAAAUCAGCAAGAGAGCAAAAGAAUUUGAAAUGGAAAAGAAGAGAGAAAGUAGAGAGAAGAGAGAAGAUGUGAAUGCUUGAGGUGUGUUGAAUGAUCAGCCAAGGGGGUUUUUAUAGCUGAAGAUGGCUACUAAAAUUAGCUAAAAAUAGUAGCCAAAGAGCCAUCCCUUGGCCAGCCACACAUGUGGCAAGGUUGAUGGUUUCAACUUUGCUAAAUUUGGCUUGGGGUAUAUCUACAAAGCCACCAAUUGUGGAGGGGUUUGAAUGCAACUUGAACAAGUCUUCAAGGGCCUCUUUGCAAGCUUAAAUAAUCAGUUAAUAAGCUGAUUUGGGUCAGCUCUUGGGACGGUUUUUGGGCAGUCCAUUUCUUGGUCAGUUCAGUUCACUCGGUUCAGUUCAACUGGAUCACUUUUUCAUAAUUAAUUAAUAAUAAUUUAUUAACCCAAAUUAAAUUGGAUAUAAAUUAAAAUUAAUUAUAUUAUAAAUUAAUAAAUAUAAUUUUGGACCGUCUUAGACUGAAAUUUAGUUCACCUCGAUACUUCAAAUUGUUUCUCGGUUUUGUACUUCUAGCAGUGUCUGCCGAGCCAUUUUUCGCCCUUUGUGCAAAUCUGUCGAAAAUAAUCAAAAUUCAUCAAAAUUAAUUAUAAAAUUAACUAAAAUUCAACAUGUUCAUAUUUUAAGUUCACUUUAAUUAUUUUAUAAAAUUAAUUAUUUUUUGAUAAGAAUUUUAUUGAAACUGUAUGAUUUUAAGUUAAAAAAGGUAUGUAAAAAUAUGCAAAUUUCUAUGUUUCCAAUAGUUCAGUUGAAGGUGGAUUUGUGUUGAUGGGGAAUAACUCUCUAUGUAAAAUAUCUGGAAUUAGAACAAUACAAAUUAGGAUGCAUGAUGGAAUUAUUUGGACACUGCUAGAUGUCAGGUAUGUUCCUGAUUUAAAGAAAAAUCUUAUCUUAUUGGGAAUUUGGAUUCUAAGGGUUGCAGGAUAGCC
This 5160-nucleotide long non-coding RNA is filed under the name Gossypium barbadense (sea-island cotton). RNAcentral's name for it is "long non-coding RNA (GBAR_LNC004294)". The record is from RNAcentral. Lineage: Eukaryota; Viridiplantae; Streptophyta; Magnoliopsida; Malvales; Malvaceae.